UUGCCCUUUCAUGGAAGAGAUGGGAGUGGUUCCAACUGAAACGCGGCCCGCCAUCGUGAAUACAUACGCGAAUGGUGGAAAAUGUUCCUGAAUGCUUCAAUGGAUAUUACAGACACAAUUUUUCCAGUUACCGAUAAAUUACAAAAAUAUCGCAUUGUGGAGGAACAGUAGGACGUCGUGAAGAUUUAAAGGGACAGGCAGGUGAACUCUGUAAAAGGCAGCUUCACUAAGGAUAUCCGAGGAACAGAAACAGAGACCGUUCGAAAUUUUGACGGAGUCCACGGUGACCUAUAGUGUCUGCCAAGUCGACCGUAUGAUCGCUAUGGGAUUACCACUUGCUCCAAUGAUCCCAAACGAGAAGGCGCUUCGACUAGGAAAAUGUCAACCUAAUUUUGCAAGAUUUCUUCUGAGGUUCCCGAAAACGACUUAAGAAGGUCCAGAGUUUAUUCUUCCCUCAGGAUAGUUCGCUUUUGA
Osmia bicornis bicornis is the source of this 474-nucleotide long non-coding RNA. RefSeq lists it as uncharacterized. The transcript has 3 exons. Lineage: Eukaryota; Metazoa; Arthropoda; Insecta; Hymenoptera; Megachilidae. The record is from RefSeq and is a predicted model, not a curated record.